ACUAUAAAAGCUAAACAAAAUUCCUUUAAUUAACUGAUUUUUAUAUGAAAUAUAUAAACGCCUCCCUUCUCUUCCAUUUACUGCAAACUCUAAAUUAUCCAGCUAUAAAUAAACCAUUCUGCAGUGUGCGGCACGGCGACUUUAUUAAAUUUUGCGGAAGGCAGAGAAAUCGUGAGUAUCGCACAAAGGAUGAUUAUCAUCACGCGGAGCAUCGACAUUAUACUCAGUGUAUUAAGUGAAGAUGCUUAUCCAGUUGCCCCAGCUGAGAGACAGUUGGGCAGCCAGCCAAGCAGCUCCUAGGCACGUGCAGAGGCGCAGAGGCGGGAAGUAGGUGUUUGUAACUGGAGCAACUGCUAGGGAACUCCUUCAGCCGCAUUUUGGAGUACGUGGCAAGUAGCGCUUGUAUACGAAAUUAUUCUCUUCUGAUUUGCGGAAUGCGGCCCAUGGUGCGUGGGCUGCCUCAACUCAUUAACCGCAAACAAGUUAAGGACCAAACAGCUGUCGAGCUGUGCGAGUUCAAGGCAUAUAAAAGCGAAACAUGAAUAUUUUGUGGACGAGGCGGGGACGUGGCAGGCACAAAUCAAAACAGCGUAAAAAAAGCAAGAGGGAAGCAUGCGAAACUGCAAUAAAACAAGUGAAUUACGCGAAGGAAACGCGCCAGGCGCAAAAAGAAAAACAGAAUAAUAAAGCGGGAAUAUUAAGAAAAAUAUCAUAUUGGACGGACGGGCGAGAACAGCAGUCGCCGCAGCCUUAAAGUAUGCUACGAAAAUUUGCUUAAUCUCUGCGCAGCAGAUACGAGCCCAGGCAACAAACUAAAAAGUUAUAAAAAGUCACACCCACACUCACACGCACGCACGCAACACACGUAAAUUGUGCGCAGAGCAAAAUAUAAAAAGAUACAAUGACGGCCGCUCUCCCACCCAGUACUUGCCCCAAUUGGUGGCACAAACUUGCGUAAUGGGGCUCGACCAAGCGGCAAAGGCGACUCGAUGACUCGCUGCCAGACGGAGCCUGCGGCUGCGGCUACGGCUGUCUCCAAGAUUGAGUUUGAGCCUUGAGUGGAGACUCGAGACAAAGUCUGAGAUUGUGCCAUGAAAUGAGUUUCAGCCUCGUCAUGCAGCAUUCGCAACGACUUAACUACUAAAAGCAUUUAAUAAACGUUAGACACAGCCCUACACAAACGCACACACACUAACACUGGGGGCUCUUCUCAUACUAAAAUUAACCAGCUAAAUCCCGUGGGCACUUAAGUCAGGAUCAAGUCUACCAAUAAAACCAUCCAACAGACGUACUCAUAACAUGUCAGCCCCCUUCGCCCUUCCUCCAUUCCACUUACAUACUUAAUUUGCCUACACUUGUCAAGAAGUCCAUCCCCCCGCUCUCAACACACUACGAACUUUGGAUUGGUGUGCAAAUUGAUUCUAUUGGGAAACCGUCAAAUUCUUAGAAAUUCAAAACGGGCUUGAAUUAAAAAAAAACUUGCAAAUUCUUGGAAGAUGUCAAUCACUUGUAUCAAUUUGGGAUAGGAAACACAUUUCUUGGAAACAUUUUUCCAAAUAAAAAGAAAAUUAAAUCCAA
Long non-coding RNA from Drosophila montana, 1578 nucleotides. RefSeq lists it as uncharacterized. The record is from RefSeq and is a predicted model, not a curated record. Lineage: Eukaryota; Metazoa; Arthropoda; Insecta; Diptera; Drosophilidae. The transcript is spliced from 2 exons.